RNAcentral lists this long non-coding RNA (274 nucleotides) under Linum usitatissimum (flax). RNAcentral's name for it is "long non-coding RNA (LUSI_LNC002321)". The record is from RNAcentral. Lineage: Eukaryota; Viridiplantae; Streptophyta; Magnoliopsida; Malpighiales; Linaceae.
GGCCGAGCCUGCGGCGAUUUAUUCUUUCCGGUACGACGGAGCAAGAGAUUGGACUUCUUCUUCAGUUCUUCUUCUUCUAGGCUUCCAUACUUCAACUGGGUAAAGAACGUGUGUUCAUUAACGAUGUUCAUUUCUUCUUCUUCUUUUUUACAUUUUAGUACAUAAAUUUUGGGCUUGGUCUUAUAAGUCAUGUUAGCCGUUGAUAUCUUUGCAAAACUUCAAGGGUUCUCAUAGCUUUUAUGGGUUCAUCUAGUCGUGAUAUUCGUUGUUUUCU